UAGGGAAUCUUCGGCAAUGGGGGCAACCCUGACCGAGCAACGCCGCGUGAGUGAAGAAGGUUUUCGGAUCGUAAAGCUCUGUUGUAAGAGAAGAACGUGUGUGAGAGUGGAAAGUUCACACAGUGACGGUAACUUACCAGAAAGGGACGGCUAACUACGUGCCAGCAGCCGCGGUAAUACGUAGGUCCCGAGCGUUGUCCGGAUUUAUUGGGCGUAAAGCGAGCGCAGGCGGUUUAAUAAGUCUGAAGUUAAAGGCAGUGGCUUAACCAUUGUUCGCUUUGGAAACUGUUAAACUUGAGUGCAGAAGGGGAGAGUGGAAUUCCAUGUGUAGCGGUGAAAUGCGUAGAUAUAUGGAGGAACACCGGUGGCAAAAGCGGCUCUCUGGUCUGUAACUGACGCUGUGGCUCGAAAGCGUGGGGAGCAAACAGG
RNAcentral lists this ribosomal RNA (429 nucleotides) under bacterium. RNAcentral's name for it is "partial 16S ribosomal RNA". It matches the Rfam family "Bacterial small subunit ribosomal RNA", at positions 355 to 776 of the family's 1533-position model. The record is from RNAcentral.